GACGAACGCUGGCGGCGUGCCUAAUACAUGCAAGUAGAACGCUGAAGCGAGGAGCUUGCUCUUCUUGGAUGAGUUGCGAACGGGUGAGUAACGCGUAGGUAACCUGCCUUGUAGCGGGGGAUAACUAUUGGAAACGAUAGCUAAUACCGCAUAACAAUGGAUGACACAUGUCAUUUAUUUGAAAGGGGCAAUUGCUCCACUACAAGAUAGACCUGCGUUGUAUUAGCUAGUAGGUGAGGUACUUGCUCACCUAGGCGACGAUACAUAGCCGACCUGGGAGGGUGCUCGGCCACACUGGGACGGGAACACGGCCCAGACUCCUACGGGAAGCAGCAGGAGGGAAUCUUCGGCAAUGGGGGCAAACCUGACCGAGCAACGCCGCGGGAGUGAAGAAGGUUGUCGGAUCGUAAAGCUCUGUUGUAAGUCAAGAACGGGUGUGAGAGUGGAAAGUUCACACUGUGACGGUAGCUUACCAGAAAGGGACGGCUAACUACGUG
This 497-nucleotide ribosomal RNA is filed under the name uncultured bacterium. RNAcentral describes it as "partial 16S ribosomal RNA". It matches the Rfam family "Bacterial small subunit ribosomal RNA", at positions 28 to 507 of the family's 1533-position model. The record is from RNAcentral.